Molecule: long non-coding RNA, 2302 nt
Organism: Mesocricetus auratus (golden hamster)
Lineage: Eukaryota; Metazoa; Chordata; Mammalia; Rodentia; Cricetidae
Exons: 4
Source: RefSeq, a predicted model, not a curated record
UAUGUGUUAUAUUGAUAAUUGGUUUGAUAGUUUGGCUUUUAAUAUUGCUGGGUACAAAAAUCAUUUUUCCCAAGCAUUGCAAUAACAAUGGGCCUCUGGUAUCUGUUUCGCCUCAUCGCUGAUCCAUUCAGUAUAAAAAUAAAUUGAGCAGUGCAUUCUGUCAGACAGCAUUUUAUGGAAAAUACAGUGAGGUUGAUAUUGUGCUCUAUUUCUUAAACUUAUCAAGCUACACUACCACAAGGAGACAUUUACUGUGGGAACAAAAGAUUCAUUUGUAAGUACUCCCUUUGGCUGCCAGGUAAGGGAUAUCGAGGAUCUGACAGGUGCAUAGUGUUUAAGGGCAUCAGUCUGGGACAAAAAAUGAAUAUAGAAGAGAUGAAAUCACUGUGUAUUGAGCAGUGGGGAAGGAAAUGAUUUGUGCUGCCUGCUGGUAUAGAAAGGAAUAUUAUGCACAAUAAGAACAGCUCGGUUCCUUAGGCUCCACUCUAGAACUGAGGAUGGGUAAUAUGCAGGAUGCUUUUAUCUUCCCGCGUGGCCCAGGCAAUUAUUUGGUAUUGAUUUUCUGGAAGUUUUGUCUUAUAUGUCAGCAUUUUGUUGGCAAACUUCACAACAUAAUCCAAUCAAGUUGGUACAGAGAUGAGUGUGGGGAGAGAUAAACCCUCUGCGAGCCAGUUCUUUGCGUGGCCUGUAGGUAGCCUCUCUACAUUAAGAAAGCUCUUGCAACCGUGCCUUUCCAUCAGGGGAAUUGUAGUCUUGGGGAAUCCCUGCGCCUGAUUGUGGCUCUCCUCCCAGUAGUGCACUUUUGACCUCUGUAUUGAUUCUGUUCUUUCAUCAAAAGCGCUGAUGUAAUUCCAUGUGCUGGGAUCAUGCCGCGAUUUGCAUUUAGGAGCUGCAACUGUGCGCUGACCCCAAACCAUCUCAUCAGAAUGAAAGUGGACCAAAUGGCAGAUGCGUUUCCCCAUAAUAUUAAGGUCUAUUGUGUCAUUUGGUGGGUUUCUUUAUUGUAUAUCGAAAAGGGCAUAUACCACCCACUCUGGAUUUUUAUUUAAUUCUAAUCAGAGAUUGGGAAGCACUUUAAAAUCUAAUAGGAAUCAAAGGGGAUUUUAUUGAUUUCCAUACCUGGGCCAAUAAGUAACAGUCCAAUCUGUUAAAUCAACACAAAAUAAUAAAAUUGUGUGCAUAUAUGUUCAUAAAUUCUAGUACAUUUAAAAUUUAUCUAUUAUAUUAGUUUUUUCAGUGUUUUCUUACUAAUAUAUAGCAAUCAUGGAGCCAGAGUUGACUUUCUACAUAAAUAUAGUAAAUAAACAUACUAUUUAGUAAUUCCUAGAAGAAAACAGCAAAUAUUAUCAGUAAAACCCAGUGCAAUCUAAAUAUUGACCAUCAAAUUAAUUUUGCUUUAUUUUCAUCUCUUUCUUUCUUCCUGUUUAGUUCUAUCCUCCUUUUAUGUCCUCAGAAAGACUAUGAGAAAGUGAGUUUGUAAAUUUAAGUACCAAAAAAAGAACUUCAUUGAAAAUCAGUAUAAAACUGUGACUAUCAAUAAUAUAUUGUGCUUUCACAACUCCCCUUUAAAUCCUAGUCAUUCUUACUUAUUAAUUGUAAUAAUAAUAUUUACUGACUAUUUAGGGAUGGAGUGAGAAUCUAGUGACGAUCUCUUAUGGAGCUAAGAGCCUAAAUGGAGAGGCAGGAAAAUAACUGCAAAAAGGAAACUGUGUAGACAUGAGACCACAAAAGAGGAAGAAGGCUGUGCAGUACCUGUAGUCCAUAUACUCACGAGAAGCUGCUGCAGUGAGAUCUUCUAUGGGGAAAUGCAUAGAACUGCAUAUUGUGCCAAGACAGAAAGGAUCCAAGUGCCUCUCAGCGCUUGCAGCCUCUUGUGCAGACAUGCAAACACCUGCUGCAUUGCUUACCGGGUGCAUUUCAGCUAUCACUGUUGAUGAAUACGAGCUCAGAGAGGAGCGUCUCAGCAUUUCAAGACCAUUGUCAUGGGGAUAAAGCAGGAAGGGAGAAUCUAUCUAUAUAUUUUCCUCUUGGGCAAUGGAAGUCAGCGCAUAUGAUUCCAUAGCCUUUCAGCUGUCUCCCCUCCCCCCACCGUCUGAUCACAUUAUUCACACAAAGAACCAAUGAGCCGUUUGCCAUUACCUUAAAGUCCUAUAUUAAUGAGACAGCUACAAUUUUUAAUCACUUCAGUUAAGCCUUGAAUAUUCUGUUUGCUAAUAUCAGGCAUCCAUUCAAAAUGAGAACAAGUGUUUUAUUAUCUUUCCUUUGCAAAUAGCAAAUAAAAUAUUGAGUUUUUUUCCGUAAA